This 20-nucleotide microRNA is filed under the name Oryza sativa (Asian cultivated rice). RNAcentral's name for it is "osa-miR5161". Lineage: Eukaryota; Viridiplantae; Streptophyta; Magnoliopsida; Poales; Poaceae. RNAcentral also lists the same sequence under 1 other name. The record is from miRBase by way of RNAcentral.
UCUGGAUCAGAGGGAGUAUA